CCGAGUUAGGGUUCCUCUCACGGGCCCGACCUCCCAACCCUGUGUCUACCACACCUUGUCGUUGCUUCGGCGGACCGGUUCGACUCCCCCGUUGCGGGGGAUUCGCGACCGCCGGGGGUGCUUCACCCCGGGAGAGCGUCCGCCGAUGGCCCAACCACAACAAACUCUUUGUCCCCAAACCGGUCGUCUAAAGAAUACUUGAUGUCAAUCAAACACA
Molecule: unclassified non-coding RNA, 217 nt
Filed under: uncultured Ascomycota
Lineage: Eukaryota; Fungi; Ascomycota
Description: sequence contains ITS1
Source: RNAcentral